Molecule: ribosomal RNA, 264 nt
Filed under: Salmonella enterica subsp. enterica serovar Newport
Lineage: Bacteria; Pseudomonadati; Pseudomonadota; Gammaproteobacteria; Enterobacterales; Enterobacteriaceae
Description: partial 16S ribosomal RNA
Rfam family: Bacterial small subunit ribosomal RNA
Source: RNAcentral
AAAUUGAAGAGUUUGAUCAUGGCUCAGAUUGAACGCUGGCGGCAGGCCUAACACAUGCAAGUCGAACGGUAACAGGAAGCAGCUUGCUGCUUCGCUGACGAGUGGCGGACGGGUGAGUAAUGUCUGGGAAACUGCCUGAUGGAGGGGGAUAACUACUGGAAACGGUGGCUAAUACCGCAUAACGUCGCAAGACCAAAGAGGGGGAACUUCGGGCCACUAUCCAUCAGAUGUGCCCCGAUGGGAUUAUCUUGUUGGGGAGGUAAC